GACGAAGGAGGCAAGCGCGAGCCGGAUUCAUUGGGUUUAAAGGGCUCGUAGGCGGCCAACUAAGUCAGACGUGAAAUCCCUCAGCUUAACUGGGGAACUGCGUCUGAUACUGGAUGGCUUGGAUCCGGGAGAGGGAUGCGGAAUUCCAGGUGUAGCGGUGAAAUGCGUAGAUAUCUGGAGGAACACCGGGGGCGAAGGCGGCAUCCUGGACCGGUAUUGACGCUGAGGAGCGAAAGCCAGGGGAGCAAACGGG
RNAcentral lists this ribosomal RNA (253 nucleotides) under uncultured bacterium. RNAcentral describes it as "partial 16S ribosomal RNA". It matches the Rfam family "Bacterial small subunit ribosomal RNA", at positions 524 to 776 of the family's 1533-position model. The record is from RNAcentral.